GGAGAUCGGUAUUCUAUCGCCUUAUAUUGAAGAAUAUAGGGAGGAAAGUCCGGACAACAUCGGGCAUUGCACCACCUAACGGGUGGAGGCUCUCAGGAGUUAUAGAAAGUGUUACAGAAAAUUACCGCCUUAUUCUAUAGGGUAAGGGUGAAAAUGUGUGGUAAGAGCACACGCGGGAUUGUAGCAAUACACUUCCGGAAUAAACCUUGCAAGUUGAAAUGCCAAAUAAAUCCGCUGACCUCUGGUCAUUACGCCCGUAAAUGCUUUAUUGCAAGCGGAAGGGUAGGCAGAUAGAGUUCAUGAGUGAUCAUGAUCCCAGAUAAAUGAUAGAAGCUUCUUAGGAAGAACAGAAUCCGGCUUAUUCCGAUCUCAUUUU
RNAcentral lists this RNase P RNA (376 nucleotides) under Saprospiraceae bacterium. RNAcentral's name for it is "RNase P RNA component class A". It matches the Rfam family "Bacterial RNase P class A". From Rfam's summary of the family: Ribonuclease P (RNase P) is a ubiquitous endoribonuclease, found in archaea, bacteria and eukarya as well as chloroplasts and mitochondria. The record is from RNAcentral. Lineage: Bacteria; Pseudomonadati; Bacteroidota; Saprospiria; Saprospirales; Saprospiraceae.